RNAcentral lists this ribosomal RNA (690 nucleotides) under uncultured Acidobacteriota bacterium. RNAcentral's name for it is "bacterial SSU rRNA". It matches the Rfam family "Bacterial small subunit ribosomal RNA", at positions 15 to 684 of the family's 1533-position model. Lineage: Bacteria; Pseudomonadati; Acidobacteriota. The record is from RNAcentral.
GAUCCUGGCUCAGAAUCAACGCUGGCGGCGUGCCUAACACAUGCAAGUCGAACGCGAAAGCCCCGAAAGGGGCAAGUAGAGUGGCAAACGGGUGAGUAACACGUGGGUGACCUGCCUUCGAGCGGGGGAUAACGUCCCGAAAGGGACGCUAAUACCGCAUAACAUCCUGCCUUUGAAGAGGUGGAGAUCAAAGCUGGGGAUCGCAAGACCCGGCACUUGAAGAGGGGCCCGCGUCUGAUUAGCUAGUUGGUGGGGUAACGGCCUACCAAGGCAACGAUCAGUAUCCGGCCUGAGAGGGCGGACGGACACACUGGGACUGAGACACGGCCCAGACUCCUACGGGAGGCAGCAGUGGGGAAUUGUUCGCAAUGGGCGCAAGCCUGACGACGCAACGCCGCGUGGAGGAUGAAGAUUUUCGGAUCGUAAACUCCUGUCGAAUGGGACGAACAGAUUGCGGGUUAACAGCCCGUAGUCCUGACGGUACCGUUAAAGGAAACCCCGGCUAACUCCGUGCCAGCAGCCGCGGUAAUACGGGGGGGGUAAGCGUUGUUCGGAAUUACUGGGCGUAAAGGGCUCGUAGGCGGCCAACUAAGUCAUACGUGAAAUCCCUCAGCUUAACUGGGGAACUGCGUGUGAUACUGGAUGGCUUGGAUUUGGGAGAGGGAUGCGGAAUUCCAGGUGUAGCGGUGA